Molecule: ribosomal RNA, 253 nt
Filed under: uncultured bacterium
Lineage: Bacteria
Description: partial 16S ribosomal RNA
Rfam family: Bacterial small subunit ribosomal RNA
Source: RNAcentral
UACGUAGGGUGCGAGCGUUAAUCGGAAUUACUGGGCGUAAAGCGUGCGCAGGCGGUUUUGUAAGCCAGAUGUGAAAGCCCCGGGCUUAACCUGGGAAUGGCCGUUGAAACUGGCGAACUGGAGUGUGGCAGAGGGGGGUGGAAUUCCGCGUGUAGCAGUGAAAUGCGUAGAGAUGCGGAGGAACACCGAUGGCGAAGGCAGCCCCCUGGGCUGACACUGACGCUCAGGCACGAAAGCGUGGGGAGCAAACAGG